GACAGAGGGUGCGAACGUUGUUCGGAAUUACUGGGCGUAAAGCGCGUGUAGGCGGCCACGCAAGUCGGGUGUGAAAGCCCCGGGCUCAACCUGGGAAUUGCAUUCGAGACUGAAUAGCUAGGGUACGGUAGAGGGAAGUGGAAUUUCCGGUGUAGCGGUGAAAUGCGUAGAUAUCGGAAGGAACAUCAGUGGCGAAAGCGACUUCCUGGACCAGUACCGACGUUCAGGCACGAAAGCGUGGGGAGCAAACAGG
RNAcentral lists this ribosomal RNA (253 nucleotides) under uncultured bacterium. RNAcentral describes it as "partial 16S ribosomal RNA". It matches the Rfam family "Bacterial small subunit ribosomal RNA", at positions 524 to 776 of the family's 1533-position model. The record is from RNAcentral.